AACGAACGCUGGCGGCAUGCCUAACACAUGCAAGUCGAACGAGAUCUUCGGGUCUAGUGGCGCACGGGUGCGUAACGCGUGGGAAUCUGCCCUUUGGUUCGGAAUAACAGUUGGAAACGACUGCUAAUACCGGAUGAUGACGAAAGUCCAAAGAUUUAUCGCCAGAGGAUGAGCCCGCGUAGGAUUAGCUAGUUGGUGUGGUAAAGGCGCACCAAGGCGACGAUCCUUAGCUGGGCUGAGAGGAUGAUCAGCCACACUGGGACUGAGACACGGCCCAGACUCCUACGGGAGGCAGCAGUGGGGAAUAUAGGACAAUGGGCGAAAGCCUGAUGCAGCAAUGCCGCGUGAGUAAUGAAGGCCUUAGGGUUGUAAAGCUCUUUUACCCGGGAUGAUAAUGACAGUACCGGGAGAAUAAGCUCCGGCUAACUCCGUGCCAGCAGCCGCCGUAA
RNAcentral lists this ribosomal RNA (449 nucleotides) under uncultured bacterium. RNAcentral's name for it is "partial 16S ribosomal RNA". It matches the Rfam family "Bacterial small subunit ribosomal RNA", at positions 29 to 523 of the family's 1533-position model. The record is from RNAcentral.